Molecule: unclassified non-coding RNA, 317 nt
Filed under: Hevea brasiliensis (rubber tree)
Lineage: Eukaryota; Viridiplantae; Streptophyta; Magnoliopsida; Malpighiales; Euphorbiaceae
Source: RNAcentral
GGGAAAAGAAACUCCUUGAGAAAAAGACUGCGAAGGAUUUUACUAAGCAAACACAUCCACCAUAUGAUCAUUCUUAUCUAGAUAUCAACUACAUAGCAAGAAUGGUAUCGAAUGGAUCCCUUGAAUUAGCUACAACUUUAAAGGAAGUAAAAAGAAGGAAGUUUGAAAAAUGAUUUAUAAUAAGUCUGAUUAUGCCAGUGGAGAAAUGAAUACACAGAAAGCAUCAACCAGUCACUUGUAAUUAAAAAGACAUCACCUUCAUUGAGCAUAAAAGAUCUAAAGGAAAAACCCAGAAUCUCUAACUGAAUAGUGUACUA